ACUCAAAUGAAUAGACGGGGGCCCGCACAAGCGGUGGAUCAUGUGGUUUAAUUCGAUGCAACGCGAAAAACCUUACCUGCCCUUGACAUCCAGAGAACCCUGUAGAGAUAUGGGGGUGCCUUCGGGAACUCUGAGACAGGUGCUGCAUGGCUGUCGUCAGCUCGUGUCGUGAGAUGUUGGGUUAAGUCCCUUAACGAGCGCAACCCUUGCCCCUAAUUGCCAGCGAGUAAAGUCGGGAACUUUAGGGGGACUGCCAGUGACAAACUGGAGGAAGGUGGGGAUGACGUCAAGUCAUCAUGGGCCUUAUGGGCAGGGCUACACACGUGAUACAAUGGGGCGCACAGAGGGAAGCCAACCCGCGAGGGGGAGCGAAUCUCAGAAAACGUCUCGUAGUCCGGAUUGGAGUCUGCAACUCGACUCCAUGAAGUUGGAAUCGCUAGUAAUCGCGGAUCAGAACGCCGCGGUGAAUACGUUCCCGGGCCUUGUACACACCGCCCGU
RNAcentral lists this ribosomal RNA (499 nucleotides) under uncultured bacterium. RNAcentral describes it as "partial 16S ribosomal RNA". It matches the Rfam family "Bacterial small subunit ribosomal RNA", at positions 899 to 1397 of the family's 1533-position model. The record is from RNAcentral.